UAUUGGACAAUGGGCGCAAGCCUGAUCCAGCAAUGCCGCGUGCGUGAUGAAGGCCUUCGGGUUGUAAAGCGCUUUCGCCCACGACGAUGAUGACGGUAGUGGGAGAAGAAGCCCCGGCUAACUCCGUGCCAGCAGCCGCGGUAAUACGUAGGUGGCGAGCGUUGUCCGGAUUUAUUGGGUUUAAAGGGUGCGUAGGCGUCCUGACAAGUUUUAGGUGAAAUGCCCAGGCUUAACCUGGGAGCUGCCUGAAAAACUGUUGGGAUUGAGUACAGACGAGGUAGGCGGAAUUGACGGUGUAGCGGUGAAAUGCAUAGAUAUCGUCAGGAACACCGAUAGCGAAGGCAGCUUACUAGACUGUAACUGACGCUGAGGCACGAAAGUGUGGGGAUCAAACA
Molecule: ribosomal RNA, 395 nt
Filed under: uncultured bacterium
Lineage: Bacteria
Description: bacterial SSU rRNA
Rfam family: Bacterial small subunit ribosomal RNA
Source: RNAcentral